Long non-coding RNA from Leopardus geoffroyi (Geoffroy's cat), 241 nucleotides. RefSeq lists it as uncharacterized. The transcript has 2 exons. Lineage: Eukaryota; Metazoa; Chordata; Mammalia; Carnivora; Felidae. The record is from RefSeq and is a predicted model, not a curated record.
UCUGCCCCAAAAUUGAAUAUGCCAAGGUUGAGAAACUUUACAGAAGAGGGAAGGGCAGUCAUCCUUUGUAUAUUGCUGUCACUGUGUGGAUGGGAAGGUGACUGGAAGUUAACAAAAACUGCCUCACGGAAUAAACAGGAAGACAUCAAUGGACUCUCCUUCCAGAUGAGAAGCCCAGUGCAAAGCUUCAGGCCAGGUGGUAUCUAGCUGAUGAAAAGAGAUCAUGGGGACUCUGUUUCUA